RNAcentral lists this transfer RNA (74 nucleotides) under Atopobium minutum 10063974. It matches the Rfam family "tRNA". Rfam says of the family: Transfer RNA (tRNA) molecules are approximately 80 nucleotides in length. Lineage: Bacteria; Bacillati; Actinomycetota; Coriobacteriia; Coriobacteriales; Atopobiaceae. The record is from Rfam by way of RNAcentral.
GCCCUCAUAGCUCAGUGGAUUAGAGCGUUCGCCUCCGGAGCGAAAGGCCGUGGGUUCGAUCCCCACUGAGGGCA